AACGCACAUUGCGCCCCUUGGUAUUCCAUGGGGCAUGCCUGUUCGAGCGUCAUUUGUACCUUCAAGCUCUGCUUGGUGUUGGGUGUUUGUCUCGCCUUUGCGUGUAGACUCGCCUUAAAACAAUUGGCAGCCGGCGUAUUGAUUUCGGAGCGCAGUACAUCUCGCGCUUUGCACUCAUAACGACGACGUCCAAAAGUACAUUUUUACACUCUUGACCUCGGAUCAGGUAGGGAUACCCGCUGAACUUAA
This 249-nucleotide unclassified non-coding RNA is filed under the name uncultured Didymellaceae. RNAcentral's name for it is "sequence contains ITS2". Lineage: Eukaryota; Fungi; Ascomycota; Dothideomycetes; Pleosporales; Didymellaceae. The record is from RNAcentral.